CCUACGGGAGGCAGCAGUGAGGAAUAUUGGUCAAUGGGCGCAAGCCUGAACCAGCCAAGUCGCGUGAGGGAUGACGGUCCUAUGGAUUGUAAACCUCUUUUGUCGGGGAGCAAGGCCCGCCACGUGUGGCGGGAAGGAGAGUACCCGAAGAAAAAGCAUCGGCUAACCCCGUGCCAGCAGCCGCGGUAAUACGGAGGAUGCGAGCGUUAUCCGGAUUUAUUGGGUUUAAAGGGUGCGUAGGCGGAAGGUUAAGUCAGCGGUAAAAUGUCGGUGCUCAACACCGGCCUGCCGUUGAAACUGGUCUUCUUGAGUGAGCGAGAAGUAUGCGGAAUGCGUGGUGUAGCGGUGAAAUGCAUAGAUAUCACGCAGAACUCCGAUUGCGAAGGCAGCAUACCGGCGCUCAACUGACGCUGAGGCACGAAAGCGUGGGGAUCGAACAGGAUUAGAUACCCCGGUAGUC
RNAcentral lists this ribosomal RNA (460 nucleotides) under uncultured bacterium. Its description in RNAcentral is "partial 16S ribosomal RNA". It matches the Rfam family "Bacterial small subunit ribosomal RNA", at positions 338 to 795 of the family's 1533-position model. The record is from RNAcentral.